This 850-nucleotide ribosomal RNA is filed under the name uncultured bacterium. RNAcentral describes it as "bacterial SSU rRNA". It matches the Rfam family "Bacterial small subunit ribosomal RNA", at positions 43 to 914 of the family's 1533-position model. The record is from RNAcentral.
UGCGCGNCUACCAUGCAAGUCGAGCGGCAGCGCGGGGCAACCUGGCGGCGAGCGGCGGACGGGUGAGUAACGCGUAGGAAUCUACCUGGUAGUGGGGGAUAGCCCGGGGAAACUCGGAUUAAUACCGCAUACGUCCUAAGGGAGAAAGUGGGGGAUCUUCGGACCUCACGCUAUCAGAAGAGCCUGCGUAGGAUUAGCUAGUUGGUAGGGUAAAGGCCUACCAAGGCGACGAUCCUUAACUGGUCUGAGAGGAUGAUCAGUCACACCGGAACUGAGACACGGUCCGGACUCCUACGGGAGGCAGCAGUGGGGAAUAUUGCGCAAUGGGGGCAACCCUGACGCAGCAACGCCGCGUGGACGAAGAAGGCCCUCGGGUUGUAAAGUCCUUUUCUGAGGGGCGAUAAUGACGGUACCUCAGGAAUAAGUCCCGGCUAACUACGUGCCAGCAGCCGCGGUAAAACGUAGGGGGCGAGCGUUAUCCGGAAUUACUGGGCGUAAAGCGCGCGUAGGCGGUUUUGUAAGUCGGAUGUGAAAGCCCCGGGCUUAACCUGGGAAUUGCAUUCGAUACUGCUUAACUAGAGUACGGUAGAGGGAAGUGGAAUUUCCGGUGUAGCGGUGAAAUGCGUAGAUAUCGGAAGGAACACCAGUGGCGAAGGCGACUUCCUGGGCCAGUACUGACGCUGAGGUGCGAAAGCGUGGGGAGCAAACAGGAUUAGAUACCCUGGUAGUCCACGCCGUAAACGAUGAGAACUAGAUGUCGGGAGGAUUUAGCCUUUCGGUGUCGCAGCUAACGCGUUAAGUUCUCCGCCUGGGGAGUACGCCGGCAACGGUAAAACUCAAAGGAAUUGAC